GCAUCACAGGUCUGUGGCUGAAAGUCGAUGGCAGUCGCAGCCAAAACGAUCCACGUAACGCAGUCAAAAGGGCUGCUGAGCAUGGUGCGGUUUUAGAAGUAAGUCCUGCCGGGAAAACCGAGAGAGUGAGUUGUGAGAGGCAAGCGCCGGGUAGCUAAAGCUCCAGCAGGCGAGUGUGGGGUCAAAAGCCAGGUCAGCUGUAGAUGC
Molecule: non-coding RNA, 207 nt
Filed under: unclassified sequences
Description: raiA RNA
Rfam family: raiA RNA
Source: Rfam by way of RNAcentral